UCCACAGGUUGAGAAUUGUUGGCCUAGACU
RNAcentral lists this non-coding RNA (30 nucleotides) under Mus musculus (house mouse). The record is from RNAcentral. Lineage: Eukaryota; Metazoa; Chordata; Mammalia; Rodentia; Muridae.